AACGAACGCUGGCGGCAGGCCUAACACACGCAAGUCGAGCGAACCCUUCGGGGUUAGCGGCGGACGGGUUAGUAACGCGUGGGAAUAUACCCUUUGGUACGGAAUAGCCUCGGGAAACUGAGAGUAAUACCGUAUGUGCCCUUCGGGGGAAAGAUUUAUCGCCAAAGGAUUAGCCCGCGUUGGAUUAGGUAGUUGGUGGGGUAAUGGCCUACCAAGCCUACGAUCCAUAGCUGGUUUGAGAGGAUGAUCAGCAACACUGGGACUGAGACACGGCCCAGACUCCUACGGGAGGCAGCAGUGGGGAAUAUUGGACAAUGGGCGAAAGCCUGAUCCAGCCAUGCCGCGUGAGUGAUGAAGGCCCUAGGGUUGUAAAGCUCUUUCAGUGGGGAAGAUAAUGACGGUACCCACAGAAGAAGCCCCGGCUAACUUCGUGCCAGCAGCCGCGGUAAAGUAGUCGUG
RNAcentral lists this ribosomal RNA (459 nucleotides) under uncultured bacterium. Its description in RNAcentral is "bacterial SSU rRNA". It matches the Rfam family "Bacterial small subunit ribosomal RNA", at positions 29 to 533 of the family's 1533-position model. The record is from RNAcentral.